UCAAUGGCUGAAAGGAGAAACCUAUAACACUGUUUCCUGCUUCAUGUUAAGAGGGCUUAGUCUGGAGUCAGAUAAACUUUUUUAAUCCCAGCUUCAUCAUUCACUAGUCAUGUGGUCUUGGGUCCCACCAAAGGACUCCCAGCUGGCUGGCCGGGAUCCAGACACUCAGGCUGGCCUCUCACAUCAUCUGCACAGCAGUAACAGGAAGAGCAGGACCAUCAGGAUAGGGGAAGACGAUUAGACCGCCUCCACUGCGAGGAGUUCAUCUCAGAGAGGGACAGAGUAAACCCAGUUGUCAUCUGGCUUACAUAGAAGAAGCAAAGACUCAAAGACUCCUCUUGGGUGCUGACUCUGGUGCACAGGGUAACUCACUGCUUCAGGAGAAGCUGGAUCCUAUAUGGUAACUAUGGUUGGAUUCCCUGGCCGAGUUUAAA
This is a long non-coding RNA of Tupaia belangeri chinensis (Chinese tree shrew), 434 nucleotides long. RefSeq lists it as uncharacterized. The transcript is spliced from 3 exons. Lineage: Eukaryota; Metazoa; Chordata; Mammalia; Scandentia; Tupaiidae. The record is from RefSeq and is a predicted model, not a curated record.